Molecule: long non-coding RNA, 489 nt
Organism: Limulus polyphemus (Atlantic horseshoe crab)
Lineage: Eukaryota; Metazoa; Arthropoda; Merostomata; Xiphosura; Limulidae
Exons: 3
Source: RefSeq, a predicted model, not a curated record
GCAAGCAUGACGCAAACACUUGCUUGAACUCAACAUGGCGUUAGAUUUUCUCAAAGGCAAGUCUGUGGUAUCACAAGUCUUGAAAAAACGCUAAAAAUAGGGUUUCGAUACUCGACGUGAGCACAGCACAGGUGUCGGCUACGCUCUUUUGUUGAUAUGAUAUCAUGACUCCAAGUUUGGGGCUCAGCCUCUUCCAAUACAGACAAGAGUAGCCCAAGAGUUAGCGGUGGAUGCUGUUGGCUAGCUGCCUUCCCUCCGGCUAUCAGUUCAAAAUCAAGGAAGACUAAGCAGAUAACCACAUAUACAGCAUAUAUAGCUUUACACGAAAUGCCUAAAGAAGCUAAACCCAUAAAAUACAUUCGAGAAUAUUAAUUUUUAAUUCAAAAAAAAAUUGUGAUGGAGAGAAUAGUUGUUAGAGUAUAAUAUGAGAUCAUGAGCUUUCUCCAAUAAUACUUUGGAACAUUUAUUGAUUCUUCUGGCAAAAAAAAA